This 428-nucleotide ribosomal RNA is filed under the name bacterium. RNAcentral's name for it is "partial 16S ribosomal RNA". It matches the Rfam family "Bacterial small subunit ribosomal RNA", at positions 355 to 776 of the family's 1533-position model. The record is from RNAcentral.
UAGGGAAUCUUCGGCAAUGGGGGCAACCCUGACCGAGCAACGCCGCGUGAGUGAAGAAGGUUUUCGGAUCGUAAAGCUCUGUUGUAAGAGAAGAACGUGUGUGAGAGUGGAAAGUUCACACAGUGACGGUAACUUCCAGAAAGGGACGGCUAACUACGUGCCAGCAGCCGCGGUAAUACGUAGGUCCCGAGCGUUGUCCGGAUUUAUUGGGCGUAAAGCGAGCGCAGGCGGUUUAAUAAGUCUGAAGUUAAAGGCAGUGGCUUAACCAUUGUUCGCUUUGGAAACUGUUAAACUUGAGUGCAGAAGGGGAGAGUGGAAUUCCAUGUGUAGCGGUGAAAUGCGUAGAUAUAUGGAGGAACACCGGUGGCGAAAGCGGCUCUCUGGUCUGUAACUGACGCUGAGGCUCGAAAGCGUGGGGAGCAAACAGG